Long non-coding RNA from Lytechinus pictus (painted urchin), 3834 nucleotides. RefSeq lists it as uncharacterized. The transcript is spliced from 3 exons. Lineage: Eukaryota; Metazoa; Echinodermata; Echinoidea; Temnopleuroida; Toxopneustidae. The record is from RefSeq and is a predicted model, not a curated record.
GAACGUACGUAAGGUUCAUUUACCCGUAAUUUGCCUGCCAUUUUGUGAAAUUGUGGAAAGAAAACAUAAAAGUUAAAUGUGCUAUUUGUCUUUUUGCCUCCUGAACUGGUGAAAACCGACUCAAUGAAGUGGCCACCAGGAUGCCCAAAGAUAAAUAUGAUAAAGAUAAGUACGACCAUAGUCACCACAACGGAAUCAACACUCACAAGGGCCACAAUGGGAUAUCAAGAGAUAGGAGUCAUCGUAUCAUGACACAGGACGAGGUGGUUGGGGGCAAGAAGUCACAUUGGGAGGGUCUAGAACUUACAGGUACUAUACGCAAUAUCAGUCCGCAGCUUUGGAAAUUAAAUCAUUUAACCGUGCUGUAUAUGACUGACAAUCAACUGACCCGAGUGCCUGCUGAUAUCUGUCAGCUUACUCAUCUUGUCAAAUUAGACCUGUCGUAUAACAAGCUGAGGAGCCUACCGGUAGAGAUAGGGGACCUGAUAUCUCUCAGGUAAGAUGUCACUGUAGUGAAUAUUAACGAUAUUCUGUUAAUUAAUGAUCAUUUUGAGGAUCAUCAUGAUGAGUCAAAUCAUCCUGUAAAACAAAGGGGGGGGGGGGGCUAAAAAAAAUUAGUGAGUGAAAACCACUGUCAAGGCAGGGAAAAAAUAUUUUUUUUUUUUAGGGGGCUCCAUUUUAAAUUUUUUGUCAAAUUUCGGGGGCUCCAUUUCUACCUUUCGGGGGCUACUUUUUGCAUUUCGGGGGCUCUUUUUGAAUGCUUCUUUUUUGUAUUUUGAGGAAUACCUGUUCACUUAUUAAUGAAUUAUUACUUUUUGUUUAAUAUUGUAUGAUUUUUAAAGUUAUUUUUUUCAUGCUUAGAAUCUUGGGUGUGUGUGUGUGGGUGUGACUGUGAGUUGGACUUGGAUAUAAAUGAAUUCAAUAUCUAAUUUCUACUCCACCUAUUCCAGUACAAUACCCUGUACUCGGCCAUGUUCAUGUAAUAAAGGCCCACAUACCCUAACUUUUUGUGAAGUUCUUUGAAAACGCAGAUCUCUAUGAAAAUUUCAUUUCUCUAUUGGGGAGUCUAAAUUUGGUGAGAAUGUAUUUAUUAAGAACUUAAAUAUACAUGACAAUGAAGAAAUCAUCAAACUUUAUUGGCAGUUUUGAAUAAUAUACCUGAAAUGCAAACUCUGUCUGAAACAGAAAAUCACCAUCAUUGAGGCCUUUACUGAGCGAAUUGUCCCCCAGAGCUCUGGCAGAGAGACAGAGCUCAGACUGGCUAGCUAAUACAAGCGCCAAUGCGUGCGCCUGCUGCCGGCCUUGUAAAAUAGAGCUUUGUUUGAUGAGUUAUUGUCUGAUAUUUACCACAUCCCCAAGAAAAAUAAAACAAAUGAUUUUUAAGUUAUAAUUAAUAAAUAAGGUAAGUUACUUUGGAUGUUAAUAGGCCGUUUUGAAAAGCAAAGCCGAAUGACAACUCACCAAUGAUAGGUUACUAGACUCUGGGAUUUAUUUCCUGUGUAAUUCGAAUUAUUUUAUCACAGAAUUGUGAUAUCUGUAGGGGAAACAUGUGCAUUAGAAAUUGCACAUGGUGGUAGUCAUAAUGGACCCCUAUACAUGCAACUGUUUCCCGACCGUCGCGUUGAUUUUUUUUCCCAUACCUGGUACCAUGUGUGUGGAAAAACGUGGUACAGAAAAAAAGACGCAACUUCGGAAUUUGAAACUGCGCUCCUCGCUAUUUUCAAGGCUUAUUCAUGAUUUUGAGUGUGGAUUUUGGAUGAUUUUUAAAUGGUAAGCGGAGCUCGAGCAUAUGGCGCUAGUGGGUCGUUGAGUUGUUAUCACUCGGCAAUAAUUUCGGGGGCGACAUUCAGAUUUUAUGUCGCCCCCGAAAGCAUGAUUUUGGGUGAUUUCGAGGGCGACUUUAGGCAUUUCCGGGGCGAAUUCGCCCGCCGCCCCCGUGUAUUUUUUUCACUGUGUCAAGGUGUGUUGUGAAACACACCCCUGUUGUAAGCAUACUGAAGAGAUAACUGUCUAAAGGUAUGCAGUUCUCAUGGUGAUAUCAUUGAAUUGAUCAAAUUGGUUUCAUGGUUUGUAUUGUAUGCAACAUGCUACCAUCCCAUGUCAAAAGGAAGCAACUCUUAUAAUUUUUUUUCAAAAUUGACUUCCUAGAUUAGGGAUAAUUUCUGUAUGCUGUAUUGAUGCUAAAGGUAUUUGGGUCACACCGCUUCGAAUUUCUGAAAUAUAGACGUUUCUAUAAAAGCAAGUAAUUCCUCAUGCAACAAUUACAUAUUUUCCUCAUUUAUUAAAGAAACUCAUUCCGCAGAGUCACUUCCAAUUGUUAUUGGAUGACAGCUAAGACCGUUGAUGCGCGGUUUGUGAAAAGAGAAUCAGAUAAAUUAAGACAUGAACCAUUUAUCUUUCCAUAUACAUGUAUGUUGUAAAGCCUUUUAACUGAUUUUGAAAUCUAUCUGUACUUCCAUGGAGGAUGAAAGUUGAAGUUACUUUAAAAAUCAUCAAAUAUAACAAAAUCUUGUGAAAGAAUGCACCAAAAUCACUAGAUUUUGAUCCCUGAAAAAAAAAAAAUGUGGGGGGGAUACUCAAUUUUCGUGACUGAGUAUGUACAUUUAGGUUUGUUUGUGGGUUUGUUGAUUUAAUUGAGUUCAUUGUUUUUCAAAAACUUUAGCAUAAAUAAGCCAACAUGUAUUUUGCCUAUUAGAAAUGGACUCCACAUUUUCAAGUAUCUUGUUGUCAUGGUGAUGAUGAUGUGCAUUACGUAAAUUGUAUGAACCUGUUGAUCUGUAAUGUGGGCGUUGAUUCUGAUUUGAACAAGACAAGUGUACUUUAAAGAAAGAUUCUCUUAUAGAUUCUUGCUCAUUAAAAGAGAAUGAAACACCGGGAACGUGUUUAGCUGGUGUGAAAACAGAAGAAUCAAAGAAUAAGAAAAGAUCAAUGAAACUUUGGAAAAAAAAAUGGACUUGAAAGUUGAGCAUUGGGCAUUUGAGUGUUGUGUACAUCUUCCCAUUGUCAAAUUACAUUAUUUUUCGCACAAGCUAACUCAUUCCAAGGGUUUCAUUUUCCUUUUAUGCAAGCCUUUCUUUUAAUAUGGAUUUACAUGUACAUGUACUUGAUAGAUUUUUCAUGUUACAGCUCAGAAACGUUACAUUUUAUGUUUCUUAUUAUGAAUAUUAAGCAUCAAAGCUUUCGCUACAUGUAUUUGUCAUAAAUUUGUGAAGGAAGAUUUGGUAUCAUGGUCUUUGGUCAUCAUCUUCGGACUCCCAACAGCUUUAAUUUUUUUUUUUACAUUCCAUUUCCCCCAAAUAUCAACACAGUACAGAAGGUGCCCAAUAUGAAGAACAAGCUCAAAGAAGAAUGAAAAAAUAAUAAUCUUAUGAAAAUAUUUAAAAGAUUCAAGUGGACAAGAGAUUUUCAAGAAUAGGCAAAAAUGAACAUGCUUGUGGGUGCUUUAUAAACUUGAAGUUUUUUAAGGUCAUUGCAGAGCUGCCAACUGUAAUUAACUUUUUUUUGCCAUAAAGUUUAAUAUGGCAUUACGUACUUCUUUCUUCAUAAUAAAAAGAAAAAAGAAAAGUGUAUCCUAUUGAGAAAAAUAGUCUCUACAUGUCUCUAUUUUAUAAAACUUAAUACAUGUACAUGACAUGUAGGUAUAUAUAUUGGAUGAAUAAUGUAAUUUCAGGUAAACCAAUAUUUCAAAUAACAGUUUUGAGCAUCACUGAAUACAUUUUCUCAUUCCCAGAGGUUGGCAAUUCUGGUUUUAAGGGUCGUGUUGAGAAAUCCUUUUUUCGUUUGAAAAUUCCCCCUUUUUUGCCAAAUGUUAUAAUUUCCUUUUUGGGUUGCACA